AAGUCGUAACAAGGUUUCCGUAGGUGAACCUGCGGAAGGAUCAUUCAUAAUAAAAGUGAAAUUUUAUGGCACUUUUAAAACAAUCCAUAUCCACCUUGUGUGCAAUGUUUUUUUUUUUUAAAUAAACUCAUUUUUUUUAAAUAUGUUUUGUCUGAAAUAUCUUUUAUGAAUUACUUAAUUCUAAAAUAUAACUUUCAACAACGGAUCUCUUGGCUCUC
RNAcentral lists this unclassified non-coding RNA (218 nucleotides) under Mortierella paraensis. Its description in RNAcentral is "partial internal transcribed spacer region". The stretch from base 1 to 46 matches the Rfam family "Eukaryotic small subunit ribosomal RNA", at positions 1786 to 1831 of the family's 1831-position model. The record is from RNAcentral. Lineage: Eukaryota; Fungi; Mortierellomycota; Mortierellomycetes; Mortierellales; Mortierellaceae.